CCAAUAGCGUAUAUUAAAGUUGUUGCAGUUAAAAAGCUCGUAGUUGAAUUUCGGGGUCAGUAGGUUGGUCAUGCCACUGGUAUGUACUGGUCUCACUGAUUCCUCCUUCCUGAUGAGCCGUAAUGCCAUUAAUUUGGUGUUGCGAGGAAUCUGGACUGUUACUUUGAAAAAAUUAGAGUGUUUAAAGCAGGCUAACGCUUGAAUACAUUAGCAUGGAAUAAUGAAAUAGGACGUUCGAUCUUAUUUUGUUGGUUUCUAAGAUUGACGUAAUGAUUAAUAGGGAUAGUUGGGGCAUUAGUAUUCAAUUGUCAGAGGUGAAAUUCUUGGAUUUAUUGAAGACUAACUACUGCGAAAGCAUUUGCCAAGGAUGUUUUCAUUAAUCAAGAACGAAAGUUAGGGGAUCGAAGACGAUCAGAUACCGUCGUAGUCUUAACCAUAAACUAUGCCGACUAGGGAUCGGAUGAUGUUAAUUUUUUAAUGACUCAUUCGGCGCCUUACG
This 499-nucleotide unclassified non-coding RNA is filed under the name uncultured Glomeromycotina. RNAcentral's name for it is "SSU rRNA". It matches the Rfam family "Eukaryotic small subunit ribosomal RNA", at positions 591 to 1092 of the family's 1831-position model. The record is from RNAcentral. Lineage: Eukaryota; Fungi; Glomeromycota.